UUUUGUAGCCAAAACAAAAGU
Non-coding RNA from Caenorhabditis elegans, 21 nucleotides. NCBI's taxonomy places the organism in Eukaryota, Metazoa, Nematoda, Chromadorea, Rhabditida, Rhabditidae. The record is from Ensembl.